RNAcentral lists this ribosomal RNA (99 nucleotides) under Streptomyces caelestis. RNAcentral also lists the same sequence under 3 other names. The record is from RNAcentral. Lineage: Bacteria; Bacillati; Actinomycetota; Actinomycetes; Kitasatosporales; Streptomycetaceae.
GGGGAAACGCCCGGUUACAUUCCGAACCCGGAAGCUAAGCCUUACAGCGCCGAUGGUACUGCAGGGGGGACCCUGUGGGAGAGUAGGACGCCGCCGAAC